CACUUCACUGCUAGUUUGAACAAUGUGUCGUGAUUCACUAGGAGACUUCAUAGGUGGAGUCAUGUCAUCACUCGUAGGUACUUCUUUCUUCCGUCUCUUUGAGUUGCGACCACCAUUAUUAUCACCCUCAUCUCCUGGUUUAAGUGGCUUCAGGACUGUAUCUUGUGAACUACCACCAGCUGAUACAACAGCCGCUGAACUCAGGCUCUCCGAUGGUACGAUAGAUUGACAUGCUUCACCAAGCGCAGUAGAUUUCUCACCUUCAUGUGGUGUUCCCGUUGACAUGUCUGGUCGUCUCGUUUCAGAAGGCACUACAAGCUCAGGGGAGAUUUGGGGACUAUUUAGAGGUUUUGGAUGUUCAUGCGUUGCUAUAUAGUGAAUAUUGG
This 386-nucleotide unclassified non-coding RNA is filed under the name Hevea brasiliensis (rubber tree). Lineage: Eukaryota; Viridiplantae; Streptophyta; Magnoliopsida; Malpighiales; Euphorbiaceae. The record is from RNAcentral.